Molecule: ribosomal RNA, 427 nt
Filed under: uncultured bacterium
Lineage: Bacteria
Description: partial 16S ribosomal RNA
Rfam family: Bacterial small subunit ribosomal RNA
Source: RNAcentral
UGGGGAAUAUUGCACAAUGGGCGCAAGCCUGAUGCAGCCAUGCCGCGUGUGUGAAGAAGGCCUUCGGGUUGUAAAGCACUUUCAGCGAGGAGGAAGGCAAUCGUGUUAAUAGCACGGUUGAUUGACGUUACUCGCAGAAGAAGCACCGGCUAACUCCGUGCCAGCAGCCGCGGUAAUACGGAGGGUGCAAGCGUUAAUCGGAAUUACUGGGCGUAAAGCGCACGCAGGCGGUUUGUUAAGUCAGAUGUGAAAUCCCCGCGCUUAACGUGGGAACUGCAUUUGAAACUGGCAAGCUAGAGUCUUGUAGAGGGGGGUAGAAUUCCAGGUGUAGCGGUGAAAUGCGUAGAGAUCUGGAGGAAUACCGGUGGCGAAGGCGGCCCCCUGGACAAAGACUGACGCUCAGGUGCGAAAGCGUGGGGAGCAAACA